This 360-nucleotide unclassified non-coding RNA is filed under the name soil metagenome. Its description in RNAcentral is "partial contains 5.8S ribosomal RNA, internal transcribed spacer 2, and large subunit ribosomal RNA". The stretch from base 1 to 120 matches the Rfam family "5.8S ribosomal RNA", at positions 35 to 154 of the family's 154-position model. The record is from RNAcentral.
GAUGAAGAACGUAGCGAAAUGCGAUAAGUAAUGCGAAUUGCAGAAUUCAGUGAAUCAUCGAAUCUUUGAACGCACAUUGCGCCCGCCAGUAUUCUGGCGGGCAUGCCUGUCUGAGCGUCGUUUCGACCCUCGCGCCCGGCUUCUGUCGGGGGCGGUGUUGGGGAUCGGCCACACCCUUCAGUGGGAGGUCGGCCCCUAAAUUCAGUGGCGACCACGCUGUAGCCUCCCCUGCGUAGUACUAAAACCACCUCGCAGGCGGAGAGCGGUGCGGCCCGCCGUAAAACCCCCCAACUUUUACAAGGUCGACCUCAGAUCAGGUAGGAAUACCCGCUGAACUUAAGCAUAUCAAUAAGCGGAGGA